GCCUCCGUGGCCUAAUGGAUAAGGCAUCGGUUUCCUAAACCGGGGAUUGUGGGUUCGAGUCCCAUCGGAGGAU
RNAcentral lists this transfer RNA (73 nucleotides) under Strongylocentrotus purpuratus (purple sea urchin). Its description in RNAcentral is "tRNA-Arg (CCT) (tRNA-Arg-CCT-10-1)". It matches the Rfam family "tRNA". From Rfam's summary of the family: Transfer RNA (tRNA) molecules are approximately 80 nucleotides in length. Their secondary structure includes four short double-helical elements and three loops (D, anti-codon, and T loops). Further hydrogen bonds mediate the characteristic L-shaped molecular structure. tRNAs have two regions of fundamental functional importance: the anti-codon, which is responsible for specific mRNA codon recognition, and the 3' end, to which the tRNAs corresponding amino acid is attached (by aminoacyl-tRNA synthetases). tRNAs cope with the degeneracy of the genetic code in two manners: having more than one tRNA (with a specific anti-codon) for a particular amino acid; and 'wobble' base-pairing, i.e. permitting non-standard base-pairing at the 3rd anti-codon position. The record is from RNAcentral. Lineage: Eukaryota; Metazoa; Echinodermata; Echinoidea; Camarodonta; Strongylocentrotidae.